This 487-nucleotide ribosomal RNA is filed under the name uncultured bacterium. RNAcentral describes it as "bacterial SSU rRNA". It matches the Rfam family "Bacterial small subunit ribosomal RNA", at positions 28 to 531 of the family's 1533-position model. The record is from RNAcentral.
GACGAACGCUGGCGGCGUGCUUAACACAUGCAAGUCGGACGGGCAGCACCGGAAGGUUCGCUGGAAGGUGCUGUUAGUGGCGGACGGGUGAGUAACGCGUGAGGACAUGGCUCCAGGAGGGGGAUAACGUUUGGAAACGGACGCUAAGACCCCGUAUGCCGGAGGGUGAAAAUGGCGCAAGCCAGCCUGGAGAGUGACUCGCGUCCUAUCAGCUAGUUGGCGGGGUGAAGGCCCACCAAGGCGAUGACGGGUAGCCGACCUGAGAGGGUGGCCGGCCACACUGGAACUGAGAUACGGUCCAGACUCCUACGGGAGGCAGCAGUGGGGAAUAUUGGGCAAUGGGCGCAAGCCUGACCCAGCGACGCCGCGUGGGGGAAGAAGUCUUUCGGGAUGUAAACCCUUGUUGUACGGGACGAAACGAAUGACGGUACCGUACGAGGAAGCCCCGGCAAACUACGUGCCAGCAGCCGCGGUAAGAGUACUCUAU